This 983-nucleotide long non-coding RNA is filed under the name Homo sapiens (human). RNAcentral describes it as "HSALNT0276746". Lineage: Eukaryota; Metazoa; Chordata; Mammalia; Primates; Hominidae. The record is from RNAcentral.
CCGGAAGGAGCCCGGAGGGGCCCGGGCGGCCAGGGCGCCCCCGCCAGGAGGCCCGCCAGGUGUCCACCUGAGCCCCACGCCCUGCGCCGCGGGGCCCUUUUGGGGGCGGGGUGCCAGCUCCGAGGUGUCCUCCCACGGGCUGUAGACUGGGAAACUGAGGCCCGGGCCACGGUCCCAGACGCAGCCGGGACCCGAACCCACCUCACCUGAGCGAAUGAUAUCCGGGACUCAUCCUUUUUCGACACCUUUGCGGGAUCCAGCCCUCCAAGGAAAGCUUCCUGAGCAGUGCGCGCCACGUGUAUUGGGCACCUCACCGCGGCCACUUCACAUCCUAUCUCAGGUGGAGAAACUAAGCCACAGAAAGGAGCUGUCAUUUACCUAAAGCACCGUGGCAGGGGUUUGGCAGAGCCAGGAUUUGUACCCAGAUCGCCUGACUUCGGAGAGUAACAGCUCUUAACCACAGCACUUCGGUCUAUGCCUUGAUUUCACCAUAUGUAACAAGGGACAAGAGCUUGCCGUGUUGCCCCAGGCUGGUCUCAAACUCCUAGCCUCAAGCAAACUUCCUGUCUCGGCCUUUCAAAACCCUGAGAUUACAAGCAUAAGAAAAGAAAAUCUUGUAAGAUGAAAGCUGAAGGAUGAGAGCAAUUAAUUGAUGAAGUAUGAUGAUCCAGGUGUCCCUGGGUGAAGAAACAACCUCUACAAAGGCCCUGAGGUAGGAAUAUGCCAUUAUAGGACCUAGGAGCUGUUCUCAGGGAGCUGACGGUGAUUGAGGCUCAUGGAACAAGAAAAGAAAAAUCAUCAUCACCAUUGUCACUAUCACUACCAUAGUCAGAUGAAGAGAUGGGGUCUCCCUAUGCUUCCCAGGCUGGUCUCGAACUCCUGGACUCAAGCAAUCCUCCUGUCUUGACCUCCCAAAGUGCUGGGAUUACAGGCGUGAGCCGCCUCACCUGGCCUAUAGAAUUUUAUACAAAUGAAAUCAUACU